GCGGGGUUUCACCAUGUUGGCCAGGCUGGUCUAGAACUCCUGAUCUCAAGAGAUCCACCCACCUCGGCCUCCCAAAGUGCUGGGAUUACCUGCAUGAGCCACUGCACCUGGCUUCAGCCCUUUGUUUUAUCCAAGAGAAGGUCAAGAGCAGAUAAAUUGGAUCUGUGCCCGCAGAGAGAGCCUGCUCCAGCCUCUUUGCUACAGCCUUGAGUCUUCUGCUGAAGCUGUGGAGACUACCAAAUGGACUCGUCUAGAUUUCACAUGCAACGUGGCUCUGCCUUCCCUGAGCACUCUGGGCCUUUCCAUGGAGACAGAAUGAAUAGAUAAUG
RNAcentral lists this long non-coding RNA (329 nucleotides) under Homo sapiens (human). RNAcentral describes it as "HSALNT0101814". The record is from RNAcentral. Lineage: Eukaryota; Metazoa; Chordata; Mammalia; Primates; Hominidae.